AAAGCUAGACAAAACAAGCUUGAAACAACAGGAAAAAUUAGCAGGUGAGAUAUAUAGACUAUGCUAAAAUUCUUUUCUGUUUGCAGAGGAAACAUCACAGAGCAACAUGGGCCGUCAAAAAAAUGAAAACAAAAAAAACCCAGAAGAACCAACCCACCAAAACCUACUGUUUCUCUUUCCAUGUAUAAAUUAUUUGUCAAGCUUCAGUUUAUCAGCACACAAAAAUAGAAAUAAUCUUUAUGAUAAAAUCAGAUGGGGAAUGGAAGAAGGAGAAAUUCUCUUGAUGUAUUAACGUCUGAAGUGCAAACUCCAGAUUAAACAUUUACAGUCACUGACAUUUAUUCCUUCAGUAUCCUUAGUCUUUUAAAGAUGUUACUACCCUGCUUUCCCAUUCUUCUUUAACCCUUUUCUUUGUCAGAGCUUACCUCCACAGGAGUGAUGCAGAAUACCUUUUAUCUCCUCACCAACACCUCUAAAAUUCAAUUGCUUAGCUUUACAUUGCAGAAAGGGCAAACUCCGAGAGAGCUGCAAGACUCCAUACUUCAGGAAUCAAUAAAUGUCUGCAUGCUUAAUUUUGCAAAGCACCAAAGAGUAAUUUUGUUACUGCAAAGAGUAAUUUUGUUACUUUUCUGUGGAAAGAGUAACAUUGAAUAAAAAGUAAAAUGGGGUGGGAGUAUUUGAGAAUUUACACUGGUUUAGAUUCAUUAGAAUAUGUCUUCCAGUGCCCUAUUUUCUCAUUUUCCAGCUACACAUGGCUAACAAUAGGCCUUGUUCUAGCCACAGUCAAAUCUUUAGGAAAAUUUUCACAAAACCUAGAAAAAGCAAAAUUAUGCCAUUACUUCAUUUAAGGAAAAGUUUGUACAAAAAUAAUACUUCCUUUCAUAUUUGAGCUACUCUUUACCACCUACAUCUUUUAGUGAAUUUAUCGUUUAUUGAAUAUAAUGCAAUUUAGUUGUAUGUGGUAAGAUAAUUCCUUUGAAGGAUUAUUGAUGUUAGGUUUUGUGCACAACCACAAAGGAAGCACUAAAUGACAUGUUACUCUCCUGCUGCUCCAUCUCUGCCACUCUUAUUAUUGGAAAUUGCACGGCAAUCUGAGCUCUGAAGGCUUUGGUUACCUCUAUUUCCAUGUUGGUAUUGUCAGAUUGUGGUUUGACACGGCAAUUAAUAUUUGCAAAAGUAAUUCUAUAUUUUCAGGGUGGAACUUUUCUUCUAUAUUGCAGGCUGAAUUUUCUCAUGGCACCAUUUUGAGAAAGUAUAUUCAAAUAUAAGAUUCAUAGAUAUUAUUUUUAUUUCAUGUUUUUUUUUUUCUCCAGCAUCAUAAAGUAUCUGAAUAUAUUUUGUCUUAAACAUGAACAAGAGAGCCUUUCUAUACCAGAAAUUAUACUGUGCUAAAUCUUUUUUCCAUGUUCACUUUUGAUAAUUCAACAUGAAAUUUUUAGGUAGAUCUCUCUCCUUCACAAUUGUGUUUUACACAAUGUGGUGCUGCCUCAAGGCACAUAAAUUAAUUCAGAAUGAGUUAGCACAGACAUGAGAACUAAUAUAUGAUAAAUUACACUGGAUUUCAUUUUGAGGAAACAUAGCAAUAAUGGUUUGGAUACCUAAGCCAGCAGGGAUGCUACUCAUGACACAGCAUUCUGAUAUAUGGAUACCUGUUUAAUUUCUUCAGAUUAGGUUCCCAGCCCUAGGGAAAAAAAAAAAUGUUUCUAAAAGGAUUAAAAAAUACCGUAAACAGUCUUUGUUUUCUCAAUGCGGUCUCAGUUUUGAAACGAAUGAAAAAAAAUUAAUAAAGUAGAGUUGAUACAAGUUUAAGUAGGAUAUACCUGGGAGUUCUUAAAUGGUUAUUGGUUCCAAGCAGUGUAGGUAUCUCUUCUAACAAAUAUAAAACUGAACAUAAUGAGUUUGUCAAAAGCUGGGCUUAGAAUGCACAAUGGGGAUAUCUCUAGGUUUUGUCAGAUUUUUGUUCUCUUGCAAUAUUUAUAAUUGUUCCAGUGGGAGUAGGGCAAGGAAAAUGCUCCUGAGAGUUUCACUUGGACAUACCCUUAGUCAGAAUGCAUGAUGGACAUCUCAUUGUCUUCCACGUUUCAGCAUUAGGAUGUACAAACACAAAUGAACCAAAAUGAAACCAAAAAAAACAAAACCAGACUUAGAAUGAAAAAUACAGUUGUCUGAUAACCAGAACAUUAGCAUUAAAAAUCAGAAACUCUGAUCACUGAAUCAAAUAUGUAAUUUAUCCUAGACAUAAUAAAAAUGAAACACAUGAGAACAAAUAUUGAACUGAAGUUGCUGUGCUAUGCUUAGUUCACACACCUUCAUGCCUAUAAGUUUGGACUAGUAAAGGGUUUCGGAAAGAAUAGAGUGGUAGUGAUAAUAAUGUAAAAAACAAUUUUCAACUCGAGAUAAGAUAUUCAUUACUUUCUAUUAGUUUAAAAAAGUGAAAGACCUUUUUUUGCUGUGUUUUUCAAAUAUAUUUAAGAAUUUUUUUCAAAGAUUUUUUUGGUAAUGACAUCUCUUUACCAUAAGAGUAAGUUUAUUAAAUACGCAUAUGUCAAAAAAACUGGAAGGAGUAAAUAUCCUAAUCUAAUGUGUUCAUCUGUUAUUGAAAUUGGAUUUCUUGAAAAUUUUCUUCAGGAAAUCAGCUAACACUGAGGUCUUUCUUCUAAAUCACUAGCAAAACAUUCCAGCAAAGGAGAAUUCAAAUGUUUAAAUAAAGGUAAAUAAGAAAGAGACAUGGCUGUCAAAAUCUUUGGGGGUAGUCUCAAAUGUCUCAAUGGUAGCCCACAUACUGCCCUUUUGGUUAGACUUCUUCCAACCACAGCUAAGUUUAAUUCAUUCUCAUGUCCUUGGAAAAAAAAAAUUGUACAGUAUAUACUGAGGCUGGGUAUAAGCAUGCCCUUUUUCUCAGAGUGCUUGUAUAGUGUUAAUCAUAGUUAAUUCACUUAACAGUAACAUGAACAGUCAAGUGUGUUUUCUUCUUCAAAAAUUCUACCAUAGACCCAUUAUUAACUAAUGCAGUAUUAUCUUGUAAUAGCUGUCACCUCCUUGACCAUACAUCAUAUCACCUACCCUGGAUUAAAGUAAUACUGUAAUCUGUAAUGAGAAUUAUAUCUGACAGAAAGAAAUGUGCUUGACUUUUUCUUUUCAUAGUCAGACUAUUUUGAAGAAUCCUUUGCCAAAAUAUGAUCUUAAAAAUAAUUCAGAAAGUUUUUUUUUCAGAGAGUCAGGGAGUCUUUUGUUCCACAAUAAAAUUUAUCUGCUCGCUCUAAUUCCUCUGGAUAUUUGGGGUUUCAGUGUCUAUUCCUGUUUGAACCUCAGGCAACUUGCCGCAUCACCUUCAAUCAUGGGCACUUAUCACUAGCUGCACUGUCAGAAGAUUAAUAACCAAGUUAGAGAAAAUCUUAAAAUAAAAAGUUUCCAGGUAACUCACCAGAGAACCACAGCUGUAAUUACAGCUAGGGAGAGAUCACAAAAGGGUAAGGUGGCCUCCUGCAGACAUUGACACAUUAAAUUAUAAACAGAUGCUAUGCUAUUCCUUCAAAUACUUAUCAUGGUCACACUAAUAUUCCAUCCAUCUUGCUAGUAAUAUUUUUCCCCUAGUGGAGAGGGUAGUCUCCUAAAGAAUUCAUUUUUUUCCAAAGUUGAAGCCCCAUUCCACCACUGAAAUUCAGACUGGAAAGAGCAGUCAAAAGUAUACAGAGGCAGAACAAUUGCUGGCACUAUUAUAAAGAUAGGGUUGAAUAAACUAAAGAUAAAACAAGAUACAAGAUAAAACCCAAACAUUCCCACACAAUCAAAGUCUGACUGUGCUUGACCUCUAUUUCCCCAUCCUAAGCCAACUAGCAUCUCUUUUGAGAUGGAACACUGGGAAUGGGAUAACGAACAUUGGCAGAAGCCUGGUGUUGAUCUGCAGACAGCAGCUGGAGGAAGAAACCUGCCUAACAUCUUUUUCUCCUUCUCUGAAUCCCCAGACAAACCUUCUGACAGCCAGAUUGUGGCCUGGGGCUGUGAGGAGCAGGAACAAGCUGUCCUCUUCCUGAGAGUGGAAAAGAAGAAUGAGCACCCUGAAGUUCCUUUUCCAAGCAGCUGAUUAGAGCCAAGCACUCAGCCUGGACCAGCAGGUGAGCUAAGGGUGAAGGAUGUUAAACACAGAGCUAGCUUGCCUGUCCUUUUGCUGCUGCUCUGGGAUCUAAAGAGCCAUCUCUAUCACAAAAGCAUCUGCACAAGACCUUUAUGCAAGGAUGAAUUUUAUUUGAUCCUAAAAAGACUUUAAAGGCAAUGAAAUGUAUGUCACUGAUCUGCACCCUGGGAAUCUGGCCAGUAAAAACAGGCUGCCUAUUUAUUAGGCACUGAUUAUGUGUCACACACAUUGUCACCCAAUUUUCAAUUAUAUUAAAUAACCAAAAAACAGAAUCUAGUAGGGUACAUCUGACUUAGCCUAUGAAGAUAAGGAUACAAAAUCUUGAAUCAGAUAUAGACAUUCCUUUUAGGGGAAUGGAGCACAUGCUUUUAGAAUAUUUAAGUAUCAUGCUCAAGGAGCUACUUGUCUGGCAAAUAACAGCUUCUGAAAGAGAAGGAUUACUUUUCUCGAUAUGUUGGUCAGAGCAAUGACAAUAAUUCCUCCCUCUUUAAAGAGUCACGUUCUUUCCCAUUACCUUCUCGUACUCCUAAGGCAGGCAGGUGUUGUCUAGUGUCAUAGGGCAGAGUUCCCAAAUUCACUUUCAUUUGAAAAUUUCCUCAAUUUUUUCCCUGGAAAAAGUAUGUUUCCAGCUCUCACCUAAAGAUGAGGUUGAUUCAGUGUUAUGUCCUGCAAUUGUCACUUCAUUCAACUACUUUCAGUGCUGCAAAAACCAAAUCUGUUUCCAGUGCAGCUUGUGAAAAUUCCUACUUGGGGCAUGGCACUCAUACUUUUCAGAAAGGAUUAGACAUAUUUAUGGAUUAUUAUUGUGUUUCAAAUUAAAACACAGGGUUUUUUAUCUCUUGCACUGGAACGUCCUUGUUCUAUGCUAACUUCUAUUAACAGCUAAACUGUGUCCACUUGUC
Non-coding RNA from Taeniopygia guttata (zebra finch), 5037 nucleotides. NCBI's taxonomy places the organism in Eukaryota, Metazoa, Chordata, Aves, Passeriformes, Estrildidae. The record is from RefSeq and is a predicted model, not a curated record.